AACCUCCGCAAUGUGAGAAAUCGCGACGGGGGGAUCCCAAGUGCCAUUCUUAACGGGAUGGCUUUUCAUUAGUGUAAAGAGCUUUUGGAAUAAGAGCUGGGCAAGACCGGUGCCAGCCGCCGCGGUAACACCGGCAGCUCUAGUGGUAACAAUUUUUAUUGGGCCUAAAGCGUCCGUAGCCGGUUUAAUAAGUCUCUGGUGAAAUCCUGCAGCUUAACUGUGGGAAUUGCUGGAGAUACUAUUAGACUUGAGACCGGGAGAGGUUAGAGGUACUCCCAGGGUAGAGGUGAAAUUCUGUAAUCCUGGGAGGACCGCCUGUUGCGAAGGCGUCUAACUGGAACGGUUCUGACGGUGAGGGACGAAAGUUAGGAGCGCGAACCGGAUUAGAUACCCGGGUAGUCCUAACUGUAACGAUGCGGACUUGGUGUUGGGGUGGCUUUGAGCUGCUCCAGUGCCGAAGGGAGCUGUUAAGUCCGCCGCCUGGGAAGUACGGUCACAAGACUGAAACUUAAAGGAAUU
Molecule: ribosomal RNA, 519 nt
Filed under: uncultured bacterium
Lineage: Bacteria
Description: bacterial SSU rRNA
Rfam family: Archaeal small subunit ribosomal RNA
Source: RNAcentral